AGAGUUUGAUCAUGGCUCAGAUUGAACGCUGGCGGCAUGCCUUACACAUGCAAGUCGAACGGCAGCACGGGUGCUUGCACCUGGUGGCGAGUGGCGAACGGGUGAGUAAUACAUCGGAACAUGUCCUGUAGUGGGGGAUAGCCCGGCGAAAGCCGGAUUAAUACCGCAUACGAUCUACGGAUGAAAGCGGGGGACCUUCGGGCCUCGCGCUAUAGGGUUGGCCGAUGGCUGAUUAGCUAGUUGGUGGGGUAAAGGCCUACCAAGGCGACGAUCAGUAGCUGGUCUGAGAGGACGACCAGCCACACUGGGACUGAGACACGGCCCAGACUCCUACGGGAGGCAGCAGUGGGGAAUUUUGGACAAUGGGCGAAAGCCUGAUCCAGCAAUGCCGCGUGUGUGAAGAAGGCCUUCGGGUUGUAAAGCACUUUUGUCCGGAAAGAAAUCCUUGGCUCUAAUACAGUCGGGGGAUGACGGUACCGGAAGAAUAAGCACCGGCUAACUACGUGCCAGCAGCCGCGGUAAUACGUAGGGUGCGAGCGUUAAUCGGAAUUACUGGGCGUAAAGCGUGCGCAGGCGGUUUGCUAAGACCGAUGUGAAAUCCCCGGGCUCAACCUGGGAACUGCAUUGGUGACUGGCAGGCUAGAGUAUGGCAGAGGGGGGUAGAAUUCCACGUGUAGCAGUGAAAUGCGUAGAGAUGUGGAGGAAUACCGAUGGCGAAGGCAGCCCCCUGGGCCAAUACUGACGCUCAUGCACGAAAGCGUGGGGAGCAAACAGGAUUAGGUACCCUGGUAGUCCACGCCCUAAACGAUGUCAACUAGUUGUUGGGGAUUCAUUUCCUUAGUAACGUAGCUAACGCGUGAAGUUGACCGCCUGGGGAGUACGGUCGCAAGAUUAAAACUCAAAGGAAUUGACGGGGACCCGCACAAGCGGUGGAUGAUGUGGAUUAAUUCGAUGCAACGCGAAAAACCUUACCUACCCUUGACAUGGUCGGAAUCCCGCUGAGAGGUGGGAGUGCUCGAAAGAGAACCGGCGCACAGGUGCUGCAUGGCUGUCGUCAGCUCGUGUCGUGAGAUGUUGGGUUAAGUCCCGCAACGAGCGCAACCCUUGUCCUUAGUUGCUACGCAAGAGCACUCUAAGGAGACUGCCGGUGACAAACCGGAGGAAGGUGGGGAUGACGUCAAGUCCUCAUGGCCCUUAUGGGUAGGGCUUCACACGUCAUACAAUGGUCGGAACAGAGGGUUGCCAACCCGCGAGGGGGAGCUAAUCCCAGAAAAUGCAUCGUAGUCCGGAUCGUAGUCUGCAACUCGACUACGUGAAGCUGGAAUCGCUAGUAAUCGCGGAUCAGCAUGCCGCGGUGAAU
RNAcentral lists this ribosomal RNA (1360 nucleotides) under uncultured bacterium. RNAcentral describes it as "bacterial SSU rRNA". It matches the Rfam family "Bacterial small subunit ribosomal RNA", at positions 8 to 1367 of the family's 1533-position model. The record is from RNAcentral.